Molecule: long non-coding RNA, 1936 nt
Organism: Dendrobium catenatum
Lineage: Eukaryota; Viridiplantae; Streptophyta; Magnoliopsida; Asparagales; Orchidaceae
Exons: 4
Source: RefSeq, a predicted model, not a curated record
AAGAAAAUAGGUUAAUAGAGGCCAAAAAAAUAAAACAUGGUCGCUAAAAAUAACCUUUUAGCGAUAAAAAAUAAGUAACGCCACUAAAUUAAUAUAAAUCUUUAUAUUAAUUACAAAAGAGAAAAAUUGGCCGCUAAUUUUUGAUAUUAGCCGCGAUCUCCAACCUCUCUCCCAUGCAACUACUAAAAAAACCAUUUUACUACAAUAUUAUAUGACAUUUUUAAUUAUAUAUCAUAAAAGAAAUCUAUUAGACCUAACUUCCUUCUCCCGGGCUAAGUGCGCGUGCGAUUUCUUUCUCCAAGGAGAUCACGCUCGGUGAGGAUUUCUUCCUCUUCCUCCUGAUCGAAUGUGUCGAUAUGCCCGCAAUUGGCUCGCGACACCAUUCCUCUUCCUUCAGAUCGAAUGCCUGUGCUUGGCUUGCAGUUUCUUUCUCUCGACAUCAUCACAUGGCUUGCAGUUUCUUCUUCCAAUUGAUUGCUUCGGUAUGCCACAUCUCCCUCCUGAAAGCCUACUUCCUUUCAAAGACAUAUUGCUCCGCCAAUUCUUUGCGAUUUCGCUGGUCUACCAUCGCUUGCAAAGAUAAAGAAGGAUGUUUGUGUUCCUUUCUCAAAGCUUGCGGAUUGCAUAUCAAAAUCAAAACAGAUUCUUGAUGAAUCACCAUUGCUGUGCACAGUAAUAUUGUGCAUGCUUGUGAUGGGAAUUUUCAUACUUUUGUCUUAUUUUACCUAUAGCAAGAGGAACAGAAAUGAGAAGCAGAGAGGCUAAAACAACUUCAUGGUUCACACGACCUUGUCAAUGGAAGGUACAUGCUACAUGUUUAGAGAUAUAAGAAGUAUCAGCCCCAUGCAUGCUAACCAUAAACACAUCAUGAUAAAACUUAUAGUAAGAUGGAUAUUUUAUUUUUAUCAACUUAUCUAGCGAAACCUAAGAAGAUGAGGAAACCUCAGAUUAUUGAUUCAUCUUAUAAAUUUUAAACAGGAACAUGCACAGGAGAGCAUGGUUUUGUCACUAGUAAAAUGAAAGUGUGUUUUCUCCAAAUGCAGCUUUAAUUCUGAAACUUGCUUUUAUGUUAUAGUUUUGUAAUUUUUAGCAUUUUUUGACAUCUUUAAGGUUUUCAUUCUUAUGAUUCCCUUUUUGUAGCCAUUGCUUCUACUGCUCACAAAACUCUACUUCUCUAUUACUCUAUUAUCUUAUCUUAGCCACUUUUAUAUUAAAUCCUGAAUUACAUAAAAAUAAAUUGUUGUUGGGUUUUAAGUAGUCUCUGCUAUUUCAUUUUCAAAUGAUGUUAUGCUAUGGUUGAUAUCAUAAUAUAAUUUAGUUUUAUAGUUUUUAUUUUAUACAUGGAGGUGUUGAUAUACUGACUUGUCACUCGGGGAAUCAUCAUUGAAGAAAGAAUGAUGCAGUUGAUAAAUAAAAAGAUGACUUUAGAGCACUAUUAUCCAUAUAUCAAGGUUGCUUUUGGUCAGUGGUAUAGCUUCAACGAUGCUCAUAUUUCACUUUCAAGCAGCCAAGAGGUUUUGUAAGAAAAGAUAUACAUUCUAUUCUAUUUGCAUUGCAAUCAGCAUCAGAAGUCUACUAAAGUUGGUUCACCCUGCCAAGGCUAUCCUACAAUCUAAAGUUCGUUUGGAGGAGCCAAGGAGUACAUAUGAUAUUGAUUAUUCGUCUGCGAUUAGUAAGAGAUCUGCCAUUGUGAAAAAUCAUGGUACACAGUUAACAGUUUAUCAAAUAGAAAUGCAAGAUGCAUAUCACCGUUAAAUAAUCCACACGAGGACAAAUCUAAUUCUAAUCCGGUGACUGGCAGAAAUGAUCCUAGAUUUGACGGCUUAUUUGAUACCAUGCUUGUUAGUAGACAGAACUAGAUGUUAUAGCCAAUUAUUUUGUAAACAUUCAGAUUUUUUAUUGAUGAUUUCAAAGAUCAUAUUUUUUUAUUUUAAUU